Mauremys mutica (yellowpond turtle) is the source of this 263-nucleotide long non-coding RNA. RefSeq lists it as uncharacterized. The record is from RefSeq and is a predicted model, not a curated record. Lineage: Eukaryota; Metazoa; Chordata; Testudines; Geoemydidae. The transcript has 3 exons.
CCAUGGUGUGGUUAAGCUAUGGACAAUGGGAGGGAAGUAGCUAUAUUUUGAUGCUACUGCAGAAAGCGUAGGAUCAAGUAACUCCCAGCUUUCUCCUUACAGGCUGCUAAGAACGUAGCUGGGAGCGUUCCUGGGGCUUCUGGGAGUGUAUCUGGAAGCGUCUCUGGGACCCUGGAAUGAUUGAUUAAUAAGACACACUGAUGAAACCAGAUUUGAUGAACCGGCGACGAUGCCAUUACGCUUCCCGUGCUGUUGCCUCUCAC